ACUGAAACAUCGGUUCUCGUACGGUCACCAAUGUUAAGAAACGUUGAGCCUGGUCAGUACCUAGAAGGGUAACCGCUUGGGAAUACCAGGUACUGUAAG
Non-coding RNA from Acanthosepion pharaonis, 99 nucleotides. The record is from the annotation of a GenBank genome assembly. Lineage: Eukaryota; Metazoa; Mollusca; Cephalopoda; Sepiida; Sepiidae.